Molecule: long non-coding RNA, 1018 nt
Filed under: Dromaius novaehollandiae (emu)
Lineage: Eukaryota; Metazoa; Chordata; Aves; Casuariiformes; Dromaiidae
Description: lncRNA (ENSDNVG00000002815.1)
Source: RNAcentral
AAGCACUGACCCUUCCCAGACGUCGGGAAAAGAAGCAGCAGCUCUGGAACAGAACACAAACUCUUCACUGAGUGGCAGCUUUGAUGCAUUGCCCUCUUGACGAUGCACCAAUAAAAACUAACAGACGGGAUACCCACACAGUGUAACACGGCACAGCCACCGGAGCGCCGAUGGUAUCGGCUGAGGCCAUGCAUGCUAUUUUGCUAUGUACCUUUUCCUGAAGCAAGGCUGGGGAGCAAGAAGAUUAUGACGACUACUGGAAAAAUCAAUGCAGACCCACACCACUGUGGAAGGAGUAACAGGAAACCCUGGGGUUUCUCAGAACUCCCUGAUUGUCCUGGGAGAUGUGUUGAACAAUUUAAGGCACCCUUUUAGCGAGGUACAGUAUAUUCACCACUAUUAAUCUGACUGUGCUGGUAAGAGCAAAGCUGAAUAGCUACUUUUACAGCUGAUUAUUUUUAGAAGUUAGAAUGGAGGAAGGAAUGGGAAAGAGCACUGUGGUACUCUGCACGAAGAAAAUGAAGGAAGGAGAAAGGCUUGCUGAAAGGAAGACUUUGGAGGAUCAGCAAGAGUAYACGAAGCAGAGGCCACAGGACGAUGUAAAGCGCGAGCUGCUAGAAGGAAGCAGAGCAAGAACGGGCCGGACACAAGAAGCAGGGAGAAGAGGGAGGGGGAAAAUACUGACGCCAUGUGUAACUGGCGCACAGAAACUCUGCGUAAGUGUCAACCUCUUAGCUCUGAGGUCUUGUGAAUCAUCACUACCAAGCAAACAGCCUUCAACUCUAUACAGGGAAUGAUGUGCAAUCCAGUGGUUUUUCCUUCUUCUACACUGCUCAAAACCUUUAGCUUGUCAUAGCCAUUUAACAUUGCUAUUAGGUGUUACCUUUCGUGAUUUCCCAACUGCCUGAAGCUGAGUUGCCUAUAAAGCAAACAGUGCUCUUUGUUUAUGUGACGGUUAUUCAUUCAAUAGUCAGGUGAAGUGUUGGAAAAUAAACACCGGUGGUUGGUUUUGAACGCA